GAUGAACGCUGGCGGCGUGCUUAACACAUGCAAGUCGAACGAUGAAGCUCAGCUUGCUGGGUGGAUUAGUGGCGAACGGGUGAGUAACACGUGAGUAACCUGCCCUUAACUCUGGGAUAAGCCUGGGAAACUAGGUCUAAUACCGGAUAGGGGCGCCUACCGCAUGGUGGGUGUUGGAAAAAUUUAUCGGUUUUGGAUGGACUCGCGGCCUAUCAGCUUGUUGGUGAGGUAAUGGCUCACCAAGGCGACGACGGGUAGCCGGCCUGAGAGGGUGACCGGCCACACUGGGACUGAGACACGGCCCAGACUCCUACGGGAGGCAGCAGUGGGGAAUAUUGCACAAUGGGCGAAAGCCUGAUGCAGCGACGCCGCGUGAGGGAUGACGGCCUUCGGGUUGUAAACCUCUUUCAGUAGGGAAGAAGCGAAAGUGACGGUACCUGCAGAAGAAGCACCGGCUAACUACGUG
RNAcentral lists this ribosomal RNA (466 nucleotides) under uncultured bacterium. RNAcentral's name for it is "partial 16S ribosomal RNA". It matches the Rfam family "Bacterial small subunit ribosomal RNA", at positions 28 to 507 of the family's 1533-position model. The record is from RNAcentral.